GCCGAAAUAGCUCAGUUGGGAGAGCGUCAGACUGAUGAUCUGAAGGUCCCUGGUUCAAUCCGGAGAGUUUGUA
Nematostella vectensis (starlet sea anemone) is the source of this 73-nucleotide non-coding RNA. The record is from Rfam. Lineage: Eukaryota; Metazoa; Cnidaria; Anthozoa; Actiniaria; Edwardsiidae.